RNAcentral lists this ribosomal RNA (118 nucleotides) under Danio rerio (zebrafish). The record is from RNAcentral. Lineage: Eukaryota; Metazoa; Chordata; Actinopteri; Cypriniformes; Danionidae.
GGCCACAGCCAUAUCCCUCUGCAGCCCAAGACUGGUUACUCACUGAAGCCAAGCAGGGCUAAGCCUGGUCAGUACUUGAAUGGGAGACCAACAUGGAAAAACUAGAUUGAUGUUGGAA